This 238-nucleotide ribosomal RNA is filed under the name uncultured bacterium. RNAcentral's name for it is "partial 16S ribosomal RNA". It matches the Rfam family "Bacterial small subunit ribosomal RNA", at positions 118 to 354 of the family's 1533-position model. The record is from RNAcentral.
UGAGCAACCUGCCUUUCAGAGGGGGAUAACAGUUGGAAACGACUGCUAAUACCGCAUAACGCUGCGAUGGGGCAUCCCGAUGCAGCCAAAGGAGCAAUCCGCUGGAAGAUGGGCUCGCGGCCGAUUAGCUAGUUGGUGGGGUAACGGCCCACCAAGGCGACGAUCGGUAGCCGGACUGAGAGGUUGAUCGGCCACAUUGGGACUGAGACGCGGCCCAGACUCCUACGGAAGGCAGCAG